UUGCUCCACACUGACUUUUUCUAUCAACACUGGCCAGAGGUUAGUUUAAGCAUGAGAACCAUGAAGCAAGGUUAUCUGUAGAAAGCAGAGGGGAGUACAAGUGGAAUUCAAAGGUUGAUGAGAAUGAAAAUGAUUUAAUUGAUUCCCUGACACCUUCCUCUCAAAGAGAUGAAAUCAGAAAUGGAAAGAAAGCAAAUGUAAGAAAAUGAAUAAUGCAACUAAUUUCAACAAAAGUUUCAUCCCACCUGGUGCUAUUAAUUGGUGAAUACUUGACGUCCGGGUGACAGCUGUGCUUCGCGAUUCCAGACUUGGACUUUCUCCUUUCUUAUUACUUUCUGGAGAAGGAUCUCGUUGGCUGGUUUUAGAACUGGCCACUGUUGUUUUAUUAUGACAAAUUGUCAAUGACUGAGUUUGACUAGUGCUUUUUGGCGGACCAUUCUGUGAGCUAGAUAAUACACCCAACUUCUGGCUGCGUAACGUUAAAUUCUGAACCUAAGAACCACAUAACAAAAAUAAGGAUAAAACAUGUGGUAUUAAUUGAUGUGGUAAUC
Molecule: long non-coding RNA, 551 nt
Organism: Talpa occidentalis (Iberian mole)
Lineage: Eukaryota; Metazoa; Chordata; Mammalia; Eulipotyphla; Talpidae
Exons: 3
Source: RefSeq, a predicted model, not a curated record